CCUACGGGUGGCUGCAGUGGGGAAUUUUCCGCAAUGGGCGAAAGCCUGACGGAGCAAUACCGCGUGAGGGAGGAAGGCUCUUGGGUUGUAAACCUCUUUUCUCAAGGAAGAAAAAAAUGACGGUACUUGAGGAAUAAGCAUCGGCUAACUCCGUGCCAGCAGCCGCGGUAAUACGGAGGAUGCAAGCGUUAUCCGGAAUGAUUGGGCGUAAAGCGUCCGCAGGUGGCAGUGUAAGUCUGCUGUUAAAUAGUGAGGCUCAACCUCAUAAAGGCAGU
This 275-nucleotide ribosomal RNA is filed under the name uncultured bacterium. RNAcentral's name for it is "partial 16S ribosomal RNA". It matches the Rfam family "Bacterial small subunit ribosomal RNA", at positions 338 to 627 of the family's 1533-position model. The record is from RNAcentral.